CCUAUCACAUCUGCCUUUUAAGUUUUUUGAGCCUCAAUUUCCUCAUCUGUAAAAUGAGGAUAUUGGAGUCCUUUCCAGCUCUACUCUUAUGAUCCUAUGAUGCCUAGAACUUGAGAGUAGCAGCACCACUCUGGGGAUCCAACCUGUCAAUCCUUGACCACUGGUCAUCCGGCCUCUGCUCGAAGGUCUCCAAUAUGACCACUGGAGGAAGUCCAUUACACUCCGGGGCAGCGCUAACCAUUGACUCUUCAGGACAGCUAGGUGGACAGUGGAUAGAGUGC
Long non-coding RNA from Vombatus ursinus (common wombat), 281 nucleotides. RefSeq lists it as uncharacterized. NCBI's taxonomy places the organism in Eukaryota, Metazoa, Chordata, Mammalia, Diprotodontia, Vombatidae. The record is from RefSeq and is a predicted model, not a curated record. The transcript has 3 exons.